This 478-nucleotide ribosomal RNA is filed under the name uncultured bacterium. RNAcentral's name for it is "partial 16S ribosomal RNA". It matches the Rfam family "Bacterial small subunit ribosomal RNA", at positions 28 to 523 of the family's 1533-position model. The record is from RNAcentral.
GACGAACGCUGGCGGCGUGCUUAACACAUGCAAGUCGAACGGAAAGGCCCUUCGGGGUACUCGAGUGGCGAACGGGUGAGUAACACGUGGGUGAUCUGCCCUGCACUUUGGGAUAAGACUGGGAAACUGGGUCUAAUACCGAAUAUGAUCAUCGGCUUCAUGGUCGGUGGUGGAAAGCUUUUGCGGUGUGGGAUGGGCCCGCGGCCUAUCAGCUUGUUGGUGGGGUAAUGGCCUACCAAGGCGACGACGGGUAGCCGGCCUGAGAGGGUGACCGGCCACACUGGGACUGAGAUACGGCCCAGACUCCUACGGGAGGCAGCAGUGGGGAAUAUUGCACAAUGGGCGCAAGCCUGAUGCAGCGACGCCGCGUGAGGGAUGACGGCCUUCGGGUUGUAAACCUCUUUCAGCACAGACGAAGCGCAAGUGACGGUAUGUGCAGAAGAAGGACCGGCCAACUACGUGCCAGCCGCCGCCGUAA